UACGGAGGGUGCGAGCGUUGUCCGGAAUCACUGGCGUAAAGGGCGCGAGUAGGCGGCGCGGAAAGUCGUCGGUGAAAGCUCGGGGCUCAACCCUGAGUCUGCCGGUGAUACUCCCGCGCUCGAGCUCACUAGAGGCAGAUGGAAUUCCGGGUGUAGCGGUGGAAUGCGUAGAGAUCCGGAAGAACACCGGUGGCGAAGGCGGUCUGCUGGGGUGAGGCUGACGCUGAUGCGCGACAGCGUGGGGAGCAAACAGG
This 254-nucleotide ribosomal RNA is filed under the name uncultured bacterium. RNAcentral's name for it is "partial 16S ribosomal RNA". It matches the Rfam family "Bacterial small subunit ribosomal RNA", at positions 524 to 776 of the family's 1533-position model. The record is from RNAcentral.